Molecule: RNA transcript, 6538 nt
Organism: Dermochelys coriacea (leatherback sea turtle)
Lineage: Eukaryota; Metazoa; Chordata; Testudines; Dermochelyidae
Gene: DNAI3
Gene name: dynein axonemal intermediate chain 3
Exons: 24
Source: RefSeq, a predicted model, not a curated record
GGCCCUAGCAACUGAAGCAUCCUAACGACGCCUGCAGCGUGGCCUGAGGCCCUCUUAGCCUCCAGCCCCCAGAGCCUGCGGGCAGACAGAAAUCUGAAAAAUGUUAGAAAGUCCAAAAUCCAGCAAGACCUCUGAACUAAGUCCCAAAGGUUCAAUAAAGAAACUUAAAAUUAAAGAACAAACCAAAGCUAAAGGAUCAGCCAAAGGCAAGCGAAAACAGCUUGGUAAAAAAGAUGAGGAAGUUGACAUAUCUAUGGCUAGCAUAGGCCAGCCAGAGAUCUUUCCAUUAGUUUUCACUCAAAAGACACAAGAAAUUUUAAAUUGUCGAAUUAAUGAAGAUGUCACAGAAGAAAAACCUUACAAACUUCUGAAAAAAGAGGACAUAAUUCAGGACAUGAAGACAAGAGCUGCAGUCUCCGAUUUCCACCCAGUCAAAAAAAUAGUCCUAGAAUAUCCAGGGGAAGAACUUCUGGUAGUUUUAGAUACAGAGUUCAAAUAUGGACAGAACUUUUAUCUUGUUGCAACUGAAGAGGCCAAGGAAAGCUUUUUAAAUCCUCCAGAGGCAAUGGAAGAAGAAGAAGGAGAGACUAAAGAAGGAACAACAGAGGAAUACGUUUAUAAGCCUCCUGUCCGCAAACCUUGGGUCUCCCUUGGCAGUGAAAAGGAAAUUGAAGAAGAAUCAGUUAUUGAAUCUCUUAAAAAGAUUAAAUAUAUGAUUUCUCGAGUGCGCAGAGAGUUUGGUUCAAAGGUCAAAUUUACUGAUAGAAAUGCUUCAAGUGUAAAAGAUGGCUACAUUGAAUGUACAUCAUAUCAGGAUAAAAAUUUCAGCAUUAAGAAACUUGAAAAAGAUGUUGGUACACAAGUCGUUCCAAAAGUAAGGGAAAUGAGUACUCAAACAAAGUGGACCUAUCCAAGAAAUGCAGCCACACAGUAUUUUCCGAGAGAGUUCUCAGAUGAAGAAAAAGAGCUGUGUUUGGCAUCUGAGGAUCUGAAAGAAUUUAUUAUCUCAGUGCUUUUAAGAGUGGAAAUAGCAUUGCAGCAAAAUGAAAUAAUGAAUGCCUUUUUUGAUGACUGGAAAGCAUUAGCAGAAGAUGAAAGUGCCUUUGGUGGCAAGUCAGAUGCUUACCUUAAGGAAUACCAAUCGUUUACAGACCUGCACUAUCUGAAGCACAGAACAGUUAGCUGUGUUUGCUGGCACCCAACCAUUUAUGGGAUUAUAGCAGUGUCAGUAACAGAGCGGCUUUCUUAUGAAGAACGCAUUGCCCAAUCGGGUAAACUGUUGUUGCGGAAGUCACCAAUUCUUUUUUGGAGUUUCUCUGACCCUAUUCACCCUCAGUUAAUGCUGGAGUGCCCUGAAGAUAUCUACUGCUUUGAGUUCUGUCCAUCUGAUCCCAAUAUCAUUGCUGGAGGCUGUAUGAAUGGACAGGUUGUACUGUGGGACAUUUCUGAGUAUGAAGUAAAGCUGCAGAAUGCUAAAACUGGUGCUGGUGGAAGCAAGAAUGCUGCUGUUAAUAUGCCAACAUUUAUACAAGCACAACAAAGUGAUAAGGAACCACAUUUUGUGAGAUAUUGUGCAGUCUCUUCCAUAGAAUAUGGCCAUAAAACAGUAAUAACAGAUAUACACUGGCUACCAGACUAUUUUGAGGUUAACAGAAUGGGCAUUGCUUUUGAAAACAGAACUGGAGUUUGUGUGCAGCUUGUAACCUGCUCUCCUGAUUGCUCCAUAUUAUUUUGGGAUCUUCGAGCCCCCAAAGCUACUAUCCAGAGUUCAUUCGAGAAAGUAAAAGAAGAGAAGGCUAUCGAGGCUCCCCCUGAUGUACCGACUACUUUUAAACAUCUCAAUCUCUCCUGGAGACCUCUCAUUAAGGCAAACCUAUCCAAGAGCGACACAAAUGGAGACUAUAGUCCUACCAAAAUUAGCCUAGUGGAAGAACAUUUCCAUUACAAAAUGCAAGAUAAGAUGCAAUACCAAAUCAAACCAGAAAUAUUUGGAGAUGAAAAUCCUUAUAAGCAGUUAAAGGUCCCUUCAGCCAAAGCUCUUAAGAUACUGGAGAAUAUCCCCACCAACUUUUUUGUUGGAACUGAAGAUGGUGAAGUUAUUUAUUCUGACUGGAAGAUGGAAAGAGAGAGUGACUCAGGAAGACUGAUUAGUCAGAAACCAGCUAACAAAUACAUUAUCCAUGAUGGAAUUGUCCACACUAUACAAAGAUCUCCAUUUUUCAAAGACAUCAUUCUUAGUGUUGGAGGCUGGAAUUUUGCCAUAUGGAAAGAAGGUGUUACAAGUGGCCCAAUCCUUCAAUCAUGCUGCUCAUCAAAAAGAUAUACUGUAGGACAUUGGUCCUUAUCGAGAGCAGGAGUUUUCUUCAUUGGUAGAGAAGAUGGAAAUAUUGACAUUUGGGACCUACUGGAGAAAACACAUGAGCCAUCCCAGACCCAGAACAUCUCUAUAUCAAUGAUCACCUGCAUCAAACCCUGGAUCGUCUCUUCAAAGCAACACUUUUUAGCUAUAUCUGAUAACUUUGGAACACUGCAUAUUUUAGAAAUCUCUUGGACAUUAAGUCACCCUUCCAGUAACGAGCGUGCCAGUGUUCUUCAUUACUUUGAGAGAGAGGUCAAACAUCUGGAUUAUUUUGAACAGCGUCAAGAAUUCCGAGCCAAAGAAAGAAAGGAAUUGGAAUUGGAAACACAGAGGAAAAAGACAAGAAUGGCUGGUGGACAGAAAUCAAGAGAACAAAUGGAGGAGCAGAUGAAUAUAAAUUAUGUAGAUUUUCUGGAUGAAGAGAAGAAGAUCCUGACAGGACUUGGGCUAUUGAAAGCAACAGAUAGAUUUGCCUUGAACAGAACACAAUGAGCAUAUUGGCGAAUGUGUAUUUUUUUUUCAGGAUAGGUUAUUUUGCUUUCUUGGGAAACCUGUAUAUAUUUAAUUAGCAGCAUCUUUAGUAUGAGAACUGUAAAUAUAAAUCAUAUCAUACGAGGCAAAAUUAUCUCACUAGCUUUAUGAAGAUGUUUGCUCACCGCAGCAGGACUCUGAUGUCACAGCCGUAUAUCAGAGCCCAACACAGCUGCAUAAGAACAGCAAGAGUUCCUUCUUCACUAGAGAAUUCCCCAAACCAAAAUCCGGGACUGGUGUAAACCUGAUCUUUGGCAGAAAUUGAGUACAAACAUCACAGCACAGAUGAUGGAUGGUCUCCACACCGAUUGCAAUGGGCAACAUGGAAUAAUGGCAAUCGCUUGAAUUAGAGGGAUACCAGCAGAUUAAGUCAUAUAUGUAACAUAUUUCCUUCUAACUAAAAUUGAAAGAAUUGUUUACAUUCUAAUUACUUUUCAUGAUUUAGGCUUUGUAUUUUUGUUUUGUUUUAAUUUCUCUCAUUUUAGGCAAUGAAAAUAGAUUAUUCAGUUCCUCUUUUAUGUCUAGUCAGUUUCACUUACUGGCUCUAAUGCUUGUACUGGGAUGCCAACAUUGCAGGGCAAUUUCUUUAUUUUAAAGAAAAUUUCUAUUGGAAAAAGCCACAAUUUUUUUCAUUUGUCUUAGCUUUUGUAAAAGCUUAUUGUUAAUAGGCCUAAAAUUUGGACUAAGUUUCACCUGCCAGUAAAACCUUAAACAAUAACAUCCUUAUGCCUUUGCUUCAAGGAGGUAAUCAAAUUCUUAACCAAAAAAUCACAGAUCUAACCCCCGACCACCACCACCACCCCAAGUCUAGGAAAUUUCAGAACUCUGCAAACUGGAGCAUCUCUGCUUAAAAUAAUCAUUUUGUUCAUCGGAUUAUAAAAUGAUUCCUAAUUUAAGAUUAGUAAAUGUUUAACAAAUAGGAGACUGGACCCAUAAAAAUAUGUUGUUCCCCCAAGGAAACUGGGUUGUAUUAGAAAGAGCAGCUUUUACUGAGCACACAGUGAAUGUUGCUGUUUGUAUUUUCACUGAAAGGCAAUUAAUCCUGAGAGAUGAACCACGUGUUAGACAACAGCUUUAAUAUCCACAAGUGUAAAUGAGUAACAGCCUCAUUAAUAUUUAUGUUCAUCCUUUAUCUGAAGGGAUGACUCUUUACAUAAUGCAGCGUUCCUGCCUGUUGCUAGGUUUCCAAAGCCAGGUCAGAUACCAUGUAACUGAGUAGAACCUGUCAAGUGGAAAUUAAAUGUAUCAGAGAAGGACAGAUUAAACUCUAUACGGGUGAAUUCACUCUUUCCAUGACUCACUGAGCUGUUUUGAGGGUCACAGACUCCUGUCAAACAAGUGUCCAUAUGGUCGCAGUAGAAACUAGAACGCAAAAUAAAACUGACACAUGGGGCCUUUGCCAAAAGAAACUUCUGUAGACCAAUGCUACCUAACUACAGUGCACUACUUCAUCCGAACAAAGGCUAUUCUAAAAACCCUGGAACAAGAUAGCUAUGAGCUUCCUGUCCACAGAGAAAUACAGAGAUUACAAAUAGGUUUUAAGGAAAUGUAAAAACAUGCUGUAAACCCACAAGGGCUAGUGUCUCAAGGCCCCUCUCAUUAGGUAUAUUUACUUUUUGCUAAAGCUUCAGUCAGGCUUAAAGAAAGUACCAGUUGAGUACCACUAAACCUGGAUGUAAUUAUAGUGUGACAUUUAAAAAGGAAAACUGAGCACGUGUGUUUAGAAAUGAUUAUAAAAUUAUCAGCCUUUUAUUUUUAAAUUUGAAGUUUAAAUACUAUUACAUUAUGUGGCUCCUCUAUAUUAGGCAAUCUCUGUAUCAAAAUAAAAGUGAACUGUAAUAAUCACUUUCCUGACAUCUAUAAUGUUGUUUGCGCAGCUGGAGAUCAAAUGGAAGGGGAAUGCAGCGCCCUUUGUUAAAUCACCAUUUAACAAACAAAUUGAUGUGCACAGAUAUGGCAACUGUCCCACCACAAGCUAAAUUGAAAAGCUCUAUCCUCUGGUUGUGAGGCCUAUAUUUUAUUAGAGGAACAUACGAUUUUUCAGAUCAGCUUUCACAGAUCUUUAGCUAACUAGGACAGUCUACAAUAUAAUGAAGUCAAUAAAGUGAUCACUGAAUGUACCUGGAAAAUCCCCGUCAUGUUUGUCUCCUUUACUAAAAAGGAAAAAAAAAAAAAAAGAGAGAGGAAGUCACAGCUUCUCUUCCUUAAACCACUUUAAAAAAGCUCUAAAAGUUAUUCUUCGUGAUGGCAUCUACAUAUACCCAUGCUCCCCAGCACUUCAGAGGAACCACUGGAAAGCAGUGGGGGCUGGAUGUGUGCUCUUUCACGGGACCCAGUGUUUGGAGCAGAGAUUAAAAAAAAGGGAUCAUACCUUCCCACCUGCCUUAGUCACUUCCAUUCUGCCGCUGAUUCCUUCAGCAUGGACAAGACAGCACCAGUACAUAGUAACCCAGACCUCCUGGAUGUAAGAAAAAGCAGCUAUUACAAUGUUUGUGCUCCAGGACAUUCACUCACAGAAGGAAACAGAUUUCAAGGCCUGAUACUGCUUCCACUGAAACCAACAGCAAAAUUCCCACUGGAUUCAGUGAGAAAAGGAUCAGGACCACAUAGGGUAGUAUUGCUUUUGGUUUAUAGAUGAAAUAACUUGUCUAAGCUGUUUUAUUUGUUUAAAUUGUUAAAAAGAAUAUAUAUACACACAAGGCACUAGAGAUACAUUUUAUAGAGCGCUUGAUAGAAAUGAGUUUCCCUGUUAAAAAUCUUGCAGUUAUCUACAAACUAUCUAAAAUAACCCAAACAUGUUACUGAUACUACACAGGCAGCUCUGGAGUGGGAUCCACAAGUGUUAGGGCUUUGUCUACACUACAACCUCCUCCACAUCAGGAAAUUUAAUCACAACCAGGCUGUUGCCCCACCUGGUUACAGCUGUGCUUCCAAUUCUCUGUACAAAGUGGACCUUAAACUUAUUUAACACAUAAACAAGCAUUAUUCUGACCAACUGGAAAUUAAGGUUUCAGACUGGAUCUGAAACAUGGUUUAGGGCAAGUCUACACUAUAAAUUGGAACCAUGUUUUGUAGUCAGAUUACAGAACAACCAGAUUUUAAUCUGGUACCAUGUCAUAAUGGUAAUUAGAAACCGGAAUCAUCAGACUAGAGUUCCAUGUAGUCCAGUAUCCUAUAUCCAGUAUCAGCAGCCAGUACUAAAUCAGGGAACUGCAACAAUCUUCAUAAGGGACAUAAUGGUAUAACCUGCCUAUAAUGAAAGUUUCUUCUUAAACUUGUCAAUUAGUGGCUGGCUUUUAGCCUGAGCAUUAGGAUUACAUCCUGUAUACAUGUUUUAGCCUCUCUAUUGUAACUCUGGAUGUUCUGUUACCUGUCUACCUGUCUAAUCCAAUCCAAACCAAUCUUGCAGAGAGUUCCACAGCUUAAUUAUACAUAAGAAUAUUGUCAUGUAGACGGCAAACUCCAAGGGAUAGCCUACAGUCUUCCAGGAUCCUGGAAGAGUGGAAGAUGUACGGUACAUGUCAUGCUUCACUCAUGAUGUCAUAAAUAUAAAGGGAAGGGUAAACACCUUUAAAAUCCCUCCUGGCCAGAGGAAAAACCCUUUCACCUGUAAAGGGUUAAGAAGUUAGGAUAACCUCGCUGGCACCU